GAUGAACGCUGGCGGCGUGCCUAAUACAUGCAAGUCGAGCGGUAAGGCCUCUUCGGAGGUACACGAGCGGCGGACGGCUGAGUAACACGUAGGAACAUACCCCAAAGUGAGGGAUAACUGCUCGAAAGAGUAGCUAAUACCGCAUGUGGUCUUCGGAUUAAAGCUUCGGCGCUUUGGGAAUGGCCUGCGUCUGAUUAGCUAGAUGGUGAGGUAAUGGCUCACCAUGGCGACGAUCAGUAGCUGGUCUGAGAGGAUGAUCAGCCAGACUAGGACUGAGACACGGCCCAGACUCCUACGGGAGGCAGCAGUAGGGAAUUUUCCACAAUGGGCGAAAGCCUGAUGGAGCAACGCCGCGUGCAGGAUGAAUGCCUUCGGGUUGUAAACUGCUUUUAUAUGUGACGAAUAUGACGGUAGCAUAUGAAUAAGGAUCGGCUAACUCCGUGCCAGCCGCCGCAGUAA
Molecule: ribosomal RNA, 459 nt
Filed under: uncultured bacterium
Lineage: Bacteria
Description: partial 16S ribosomal RNA
Rfam family: Bacterial small subunit ribosomal RNA
Source: RNAcentral